RNAcentral lists this ribosomal RNA (229 nucleotides) under uncultured bacterium. Its description in RNAcentral is "partial 16S ribosomal RNA". It matches the Rfam family "Bacterial small subunit ribosomal RNA", at positions 568 to 796 of the family's 1533-position model. The record is from RNAcentral.
UGCGCAGGUGGUCUUGUAAGUCAGUGUUGAAAUACUGCCGCUUAACGGUAGAACUGCCAUUGAUACCGCAAGUCUUGAGUAUGGUUGAGGUAGGCGGAAUGUGUUGUGUAGCGGUGAAAUGCAUAGAUAUGACACAGAACUCCAAUUGCGAAGGCAGCUUACUAAGCCAUUACUGACGCUGAGGCACGAAAGCGUGGGGAGCGAACAGGAUUAGAUCCCCUGGUAGUCC